UUAUAACCCUGAUUCUUUCGUAAAAGAUAUUUCUGCCCGAUCAAGAUCAUCUUCUCAAAAUGAGAUCUAAGGGUAUCCUCUUCCAUUGGCCCCUGCAAACGCUGAAACAGUUGCCUGGCACUUCCCUUGGGAAUGCCAGGUAAUGUUGAAGGAUAAGGUUGAGAUGAUCCUGAAUCAUCAGCACUAUCAGCACCAUCACCACUACUUCUGUCCAUCAGUAUUUUGUGUUGUUCUUUGCAUUCCUUUGGUUUGCGGUAGAUACACUUGAAUUG
RNAcentral lists this unclassified non-coding RNA (272 nucleotides) under Hevea brasiliensis (rubber tree). The record is from RNAcentral. Lineage: Eukaryota; Viridiplantae; Streptophyta; Magnoliopsida; Malpighiales; Euphorbiaceae.